AGUCAUAUGCUUGUCUCAAAGACUAAGCCAUGCAUGUCCAAGUACACGCCUUCACACGGCGAGACUGCGAAUGGCUCAUUAAAUCAGUUAUGGUUCCUUAGAUCGUACAAUCCUACUUGGAUAACUGUGGCAAUUCUAGAGCUAAUACAUGCAACGAAGUUCCGACCCCGCGAGGGGAAAGAGCGCUUUUGUUAGCCCAGACCAACGCGGUCGCUCUCGGGCGGCCGUAACCAGUGGUGACUCUGGACAACUUUGUGCCGAUCGCACGGCCCUGGUGCCGGCGACGUAUCUUUCAAGUGUCUGCCCUAUCAACUGUCGAUGGUACGUGCUAUGCCUACCA
RNAcentral lists this ribosomal RNA (340 nucleotides) under uncultured eukaryote. Its description in RNAcentral is "SSU rRNA". It matches the Rfam family "Eukaryotic small subunit ribosomal RNA", at positions 22 to 346 of the family's 1831-position model. The record is from RNAcentral.